This is a non-coding RNA of Schistosoma margrebowiei, 45 nucleotides long. The record is from Rfam. Lineage: Eukaryota; Metazoa; Platyhelminthes; Trematoda; Strigeidida; Schistosomatidae.
AUCCAGCUGGCGAGUCCCAAUUGGGGCGAAACGCACGUCCUGGAU